UACGUAGGGCGCAAGCGUUGUCCGGAAUUAUUGGGCGUAAAGCGCACGUAGGCGGCUUCUUAAGUCGGUGGUGAAAUCCUGGAGCUCAACUCCAGAACUGCCUUCGAUGCUGGGAGCUCGAGUCCGGGAGAGGUGAGUGGAACUGCGAGUGUAGAGGUGAAAUUCGUAGAUAUUCGCAAGAACACCAGUGGCGAAGGCGGCUCACUGGCCCGGUACUGACGCUGAGGUGCGAAAGCGUGGGGAGCAAACAGGG
Molecule: ribosomal RNA, 253 nt
Filed under: uncultured bacterium
Lineage: Bacteria
Description: partial 16S ribosomal RNA
Rfam family: Bacterial small subunit ribosomal RNA
Source: RNAcentral